RNAcentral lists this ribosomal RNA (201 nucleotides) under Triticum aestivum (bread wheat). Its description in RNAcentral is "partial small subunit ribosomal RNA". Lineage: Eukaryota; Viridiplantae; Streptophyta; Magnoliopsida; Poales; Poaceae. The record is from RNAcentral.
AUGUCGGCGGCGGUGGAGGGCGAGGGCCGGUGCAGCAAGCCCACGGUGGAGGUCGGGGUGGCGCACGUCGGGUGUGCGGAGGACGCGGCGGCGUUCGUGGCGCUGGCGGCGGCAGUGGACCUGAGCAUGGACGCGUGCAGGCUCUUCUCGCACAAGCUCAGGAAGGAGCUCUCGCACCUGCGGUCGGACGUCCUCCGGUGA